CAGCAGCCACGGGAAUACGAAGGGUGCAAGCGUUACUCGGAAUUACUGGGCGUAAAGCGUGCGUAGGUGGUGGUUUAAGUCCGUUGUGAAAGCCCUGGGCUCAACCUGGGGAUUGCAGUGGAUACUGGGUCACUAGAGUGUGGUAGAGGAUAGUGGAAUUUCCGGUGUAGCAGUGAAAUGCGUAGAGAUCGGAAGGAACAUCUGUGGCGAAGGCGACUAUCUGGGCCAACACUGACACUGAGGCACGAAAGCGUGGGGAGCAAACAGGAUUAGAUACCCGAGUAGUCCCUGUCUCUUAUAC
This 301-nucleotide ribosomal RNA is filed under the name uncultured bacterium. RNAcentral describes it as "partial 16S ribosomal RNA". It matches the Rfam family "Bacterial small subunit ribosomal RNA", at positions 509 to 807 of the family's 1533-position model. The record is from RNAcentral.